Molecule: ribosomal RNA, 330 nt
Filed under: uncultured fungus
Lineage: Eukaryota; Fungi
Description: LSU rRNA
Rfam family: Eukaryotic large subunit ribosomal RNA
Source: RNAcentral
AUACCGGCCAGAGACCGAUAGCGCACAAGUAGAGUGAUCGAAAGAUGAAAAGCACUUUGGAAAGAGAGUCAAACAGCACGUGAAAUUGUUAUAAGGGAAGCGCUUGCAGCCAGACUUGCCUGUAGUUGCUCACCUGGGCUUUUGCCCGGGGCACUCUUCUGCAGGCAGGCCAGCAUCAGUUUGGGCGGUCGGAUAAAGGCCUCUGACACGUACUUCCUUUCGGGGUUGACAUAUAGGGGAGGCGCAAUGCGACCAGCCUGGACUGAGGUCCGCGCAUCUGCUAGGAUGCUGGCGUAAUGGCUGUAAGCGGCCCGUCUUGAAACACGGACC